Molecule: ribosomal RNA, 443 nt
Filed under: uncultured bacterium
Lineage: Bacteria
Description: partial 16S ribosomal RNA
Rfam family: Bacterial small subunit ribosomal RNA
Source: RNAcentral
CCUACGGGAGGCAGCAGUGGGGAAUCUUGGGCAAUGGGCGCAAGCCUGACCCAGCAACGCCGCGUGAAGGAAGAAGGCUUUCGGGUUGUAAACUUCUUUUCUGAGGGACGAAGAAAGUGACGGUACCUCAGGAAUAAGCCACGGCUCACUACGUACCAGCAGCCGCGGUAAUACGUAGGUGGCAAGCGUUAUCCGGAUUUAUUGGGUGUAAAGGGAGUGUAGGCGGGAAAGCAAGUCAGAUGUGAAAACUUAGGGCUCAACCCUGGACCUGCAUUUGAAACUGGUGUUCUUGAGUGCUGGAGAGGCAAGCGGAAUUCCGUGUGUAGCGGUGAAAUGCGUAGAUAUACGGAGGAACACCAGUGGCGAAGGCGGAUUGCUGGACAGUAACUGACGCUGAGGCGCGAAAGCGUGGGGAGCAAACAGGAUUAGAUACCCCGGUAGUC